Molecule: transfer RNA, 72 nt
Rfam family: tRNA
About the family: Transfer RNA (tRNA) molecules are approximately 80 nucleotides in length. Their secondary structure includes four short double-helical elements and three loops (D, anti-codon, and T loops).
UCCUUGAUGGUCUAGUGGUUAUGAUUUCCGCUUGUCACGCGGGAGACCAGGGUUCGAUUCCCUGUCAGGGAG